CCUACGGGGGGCAGCAGUGGGGAAUAUUGCACAAUGGGGGAAACCCUGAUGCAGCGACGCCGCGUGAGUGAAGAAGUAUUUCGGUACGUAAAGCUCUAUCAGCAGGGAAGAAAAUGACGGUACCUGACUAAGAAGCCCCGGCUAACUACGUGCCAGCAGCCGCGGUAAUACGUAGGGGGCAAGCGUUAUCCGGAUUUACUGGGUGUAAAGGGAGCGUAGACGGCAGCGCAAGUCUGGAGUGAAAUCCCAUGGCUUAACCAUGGAACUGCGUUGGAAACUGUGCAGCUAGAGUGCAGGAGAGGUAAGCGGAAUUCCUAGUGUAGCGGUGAAAUGCGUAGAUAUUAGGAGGAACACCAGUGGCGAAGGCGGCUUACUGGACUGUAACUGACGUUGAGGCUCGAAAGCGUGGGGAGCAAACAGGAUUAGAUACCCCAGUAGUC
RNAcentral lists this ribosomal RNA (440 nucleotides) under uncultured bacterium. RNAcentral's name for it is "partial 16S ribosomal RNA". It matches the Rfam family "Bacterial small subunit ribosomal RNA", at positions 338 to 795 of the family's 1533-position model. The record is from RNAcentral.